GUACACGCUGUGACUAGCAUAUCAAUAAGCGGAGGAAAAGAAACUAACAAGGAUUCCCUUAGUAACGGCGAGUGAAGCGGGAAGAGCUCAAAUUUGAAAUCUUCAAGGUUUUACCUUGACGAAUUGUAGUUUAAAGAAGUGUUUUCUGCUGAAGUUUUGGUAAAAGUUCUUUGGAAUAGGACAUCAUAGAGGGUGAGAAUCCCGUAUUUGACCAUUAUUUUCAGCUUUGUGAUACACUUUCAAAGAGUCGGAUUGUUUGGGAAUGCAGUCCAAAAUGGGUGGUAAAUUUCAUCUAAAGCUAAAUAUUGGCGAGAGACCGAUAGCGAACAAGUACCGUGAGGGAAAGAUGAAAAGAACUUUGAAAAGAGAGUUAAACAGUACGUGAAAUUGUCAAAAGGGAAGCGUUUAACACCAGUGUUGUUUUCUGAAAAUCAACCUCUGUUAGCUUUAUGCAUGUUUGUUUAGACCUAAUCAGCUAUCUUGCAUGUUCUAUUGUUUGCAGUGGUGCACUUUUCAGUUUACAGGUCAACAUCAGUUUUUUUUACCGUAAAAAAGUUAAAGAAAGGUAGCUCAUGGCUCCGGUCGUGAGUGUUAUAGUCUUUUUCCUAUGCGGUAGGAGAGACUGAGGUCUGCAGUGUAGGCUAUUUGGCUAGAUACUCAGGUGCUAUGUGAUACCAUUUCAUAAACAACUUGUUGAUUAUGUUUUGUCUAUUGCAUACUCGCUUGUACUAUCAUACCUACGCUUAGGAUGUUGACGCAUGAGAUAUACGC
This 771-nucleotide ribosomal RNA is filed under the name uncultured Neocallimastigales. RNAcentral's name for it is "partial large subunit ribosomal RNA". It matches the Rfam family "Eukaryotic large subunit ribosomal RNA", at positions 22 to 645 of the family's 3401-position model. Lineage: Eukaryota; Fungi; Neocallimastigomycota; Neocallimastigomycetes; Neocallimastigales. The record is from RNAcentral.